ACUCUUAUUUUAAACUUUGUACUCCAAUACGAUGACUAUUUAUUUGCAUAACGACGUUUUUAUUCCUGUAAAUCUUAGUAUACAUACAUAUUGUACAAUAUUUCAAACAUAUGUUUGUAUGUACCUAAAUGUGUUGAGGUGCAUACUUAUGUAUUUAUGCACUUGAGAGGGUGUGGGGGUAUUAUAGUAGCGGUGCGUACCGCUUUACCCACAACAAGUGAGUCUGGCGAGUAUGACAAACUCAAUUAAUUCCCAGAAGUCAAAUAUUAAUCAUCGACCAACUAUGAGCAGGGGAAGGUCCCCCCAAAAACAAAACAACCUCAUUUUUUUACACAAACGUAGUGUCUGCAAAACGAGUUAAACAACACUUGCUUGAUUUUCGCAAACUUAACAGCCGCUUUCAGCCACUACACAACAAUACUUAGUGAAUAGAAGGGCAAAACACUGAAGAUCGGACAAUAAUCAUAACAAAGUAAAUGCAUAUAUACGAAUACAUUUAACUCUCAGUCGAGGGAGUAAAAUUUAUCAAAAACAAUAAAAACCGGAGAGUACAGCUCAAACAGCUGGAACAAAUACCGACACGAUCAUUGACAGCACAAAGUCAUCAACGAAACAACAACCGAAAGCUCCACCUUUGUAUUCUCCACUCAUAUCGAAUACGAAGUAGCUUUUCAGCAACUGUCCACCGAUCAGUGGGUGACUUCUGGUGCCGCGUAGUGUACGUCAUAUUGUCAGUUCAAUUUUGCUCGCAUCGUUGGGCGGUUGUGUUUUAAGAAGCGAACAGUUUUUCGAUUUUUAAUGAAAUUUGUGUUACAUUUCAUAACUUAAACGACAAAGUUGUGUGGUUAAAUGUGGUACUUACAUGAUCAUAUACCACUAGAAAUUGCCUUAAAUAAUUGAACCUAAAAUUAGUGCAGCUUCAUUACAUACGACAUUUCGAUCACUCAGCUUAAACCGUGCAGUACACACGAAUAUUCAUCGAAUCGCGUCUAUUUAUGUGCAAAGUGAAUUAAAUAUAGGUAUCCCAUUAAAUUCAGUUGCAUGGCAGAAAAAGCUGCCACUUCAAAUCCAGUUACCAGCAAUUGUCAUUGUAUUAAUCGAAUUGUUUAACUUAUUAAAUCUACGAGGGGUCUAAAAUACUCGGUUGCAAACAGCGUAUAUAAUUGAAUUAUGUUGUAUUGUAACUCAAGGAGACGAAGUACAGCGAAGUGUUCGACAAUCGACGGAAUUUCCUACAAAAUGCGAUCCUGCCAACAGUGUUCAGUAUUUAUAGUUUUAGUCACCUUAGUAGCCGUAAUUGGUACUGUUUAUCCCAACCCUGUACAGACGACAACACAAGCUGAGAUUUAUCUAUCACAAUUUGGGUAUCUGCCUGCAUCAGCCCGUAAUCCUGCAAACGGCGGUUUACUUGAUGCAAGCACAUGGACUAAAGCUGUGCAAGAUUUCCAAAGUUUUGCUGGCUUAAAUGUAACGGGAGACUUGGAUGGAGAAACUUUGGAGCUAAUGUCAUUGCCACGGUGUGGUGUUAGGGAUAAGGUGGGAUUUGGCACCGAUAGUCGUUCUAAGCGAUAUGCUUUACAGGGAAGCAGGUGGCGUGUUAAGGCUUUGACAUAUAAGAUUUCUAAAUAUCCUAAACGACUCAAACGUAACGAUGUUGACGCCGAAAUAGCACGUGCUUUCAGUGUAUGGAGCGAUUUCACAGAUUUAUCAUUUACUCCCAAGGCUUCUGGACCAGUUCACAUAGAAAUUAAAUUCGUUGAAAGUGAACAUGGGGAUGGUGAUGCAUUUGAUGGGGUUGGUGGUACCUUGGCUCACGCAUUCUUUCCUGUUUUUGGCGGUGAUGCACAUUUUGAUGAUGCUGAAUUAUGGACGAUUGGAUCACCUCGUGGAACAAACCUUUUCCAAGUAGCAGCACACGAAUUUGGCCAUUCAUUGGGCUUGUCUCACUCAGAUGUACGUUCUGCUCUGAUGGCACCAUUUUAUCGUGGAUUUGAUCCCGUAUUUAAACUUGACUCCGAUGACGUUCUUGCUAUUCAAGCUCUAUAUGGUAAAAAAACUGUCGGAGUAGCUGAUCGUGGUGGUUUCCCAAAAACAACCCAAAGACCACUGCUUUCAGCACCAAAAGUGCCACGGGACGACCUCAUUUGCAAAGAUCCAAAAGUUGAUACCUUAUUUAAUUCGGCCGAUGGACAAACAUACGCAUUUAAAGGAAACAAAUACUACAGACUCACUGAAAACUCUAUUGCAGACGGUUAUCCCAAACUUAUAUCAGAAGGCUGGGCGGGUUUACCGGGCGAUAUAGAUGCAGCAUUUACAUACAAAAAUGGCAAGACAUAUUUCUUUAAGGGUACCAAAUAUUGGCGUUACAAUGGACGACAAAUGGAUGGUGACUAUCCAAAAGAAAUUAGUGAAGGAUUUACAGGGAUACCAGAUCAUUUGGACGCUGCUAUGGUUUGGGGAGGUAAUGGCAAAAUUUACUUCUACAAGGGUAGUAAAUUUUGGCGCUUCGACCCAUUAAAACGACCGCCAGUCAAAUCAAGCUAUCCGAAACCCAUCUCUAAUUGGGAAGGCCUGCCAAAUAAUAUUGACGCUGCAUUGCAGUACACCAAUGGCUAUACAUACUUUUUCAAGGGUGACAAAUACUAUAGAUUCAACGACAGAACAUUCUCGGUCGACGCAGCAAACCCGCCAUUCCCUCGACCAUCUGCCCACUGGUGGUUCGGAUGCAAAAAUGUGCCGUCUUCAACAGGCAUUAAAAAACGUGGCUGAACUCACAAAAUCCUUUAUUUCAUACAAAUAUGUAUGUAUCAUACAAAUAUGUAUAUAUAUAAUGCCUAACUUAUAACACAUUUGAAGGUUAAAAAUCAGGGAUUAGUAGUAUGUACGAAUUGUAGGUACGAGUAUACCUAUUAUGCCAGCAAACAAUGUAUGCAUCCAUUCGUAGAUACAAAACUAACCAAAUGUGUUGUAUGGUUGCGUAUUUUGAGCCACUUACUAUGGUAAAUCUGCGUGCAUAUGCUAUCAUCUCUCAUCGAUGCAGAUAUGAAUGUACAAGUAUGUAGCUGCGUGUAGUUUUAAAAAGAUUAGUCGUGUUUUUACAAAUAGCUUAAUUAAUUUAGUAGCAAUUAUUAUAUAAGUAAUUACAUGCACUAAUAUGUUUGUUUAGAAAAUUAUUGUAGUAGUAUUUAUACAAAUUUGUAAUAGUAUCGGUAGUUUAGAGGGAUACUGCAUCUCAAUGUAUGUAUGUAUAUCCAUUAUAGUAUUUUUUUAUGCACAUUACCGAAGUAAAUAUGUAUAAAUUUUGAUUUAUAUAAUUCUUACAUUUCUAUUUUUGCCACCAUCACUUACAUACAUAUAUUUGCGACGAAAAAAUGACUUCUGCUGGAAAUUUUUAAAUAUUUUUACAAAUGAAAGAUGAGAAGCCUGGCAGAGGGAAUAUCCCUGUUUGGAUGUGGAACAUAGCGAAUUCUUUCUUUUAAUUGUACCAUAUAUAUUUCUUAAUUGUAUCCAACGAUGUCCCUCAACACCCAAAAAUAGUGUAAAACUAAAGAGACAACUUUAAAGUUAAAAAAGUAGUGUAAGAACCAUAGGCUUGUAAAUUUGUUAGUUAAUUUGUGUAUGCAAAACAACUAAAGUUGAUAAAUAUCAUCUAUACCGUGUAUAAAUGUGGAACUAGGCAGACCAUCCAGCCCAUCGCUAUUAUCAUCCAGCUUCCUCAUUCAUCAAAACAUUAUAUAUCGCUUGUCUUCGUCAAACUAUGUCCAGCUCAUGGAGGUAGUGCGUCCGGCAGCAGUAGCACCAGUUGAAGCUGUACUAUUACGAGUAAAAAUAAAUUCCUUGAAAGAGAAAACUAGCGCUUACUUCUGUGGCCGCACCGUCUCCAUGCCGUAUAUCCUGCUUACAUCUGCAAAACAACAACACCACAAAUUCCGAAAGAAUGCUCGCAAAUGAAAUGACGACCAUCAAGCUCAUGACCAAUCUCCAGAAGCCGAUGUUUCGAGACAAAGCAAUUCUGCGAACAACUAUUAUACAUCACACAACUGGAGUAUGCUCUUGGGGACGUUGUUGAUGGUGCUAAUUUAUAAUUUUAAAAGUAGAUAAAAAUCACGCAGGCUAAACAAAUGCAUAUGUCAAUAAUAUAACGCCAAAUAUAAUAAUAUAUGAGCAGAGAAAUUGUAUAUUCAUCUCCUCCCAGUUCUAUAAAUACCCGCACCUGCGCCCUUCUUCAAUGUUUCGAACUCAUGUACACGAAAAUUAGCUUUAAAGGAAUGUAUAAAUAACUGUUAUCACGUACAUAUGUACUUAUAUCAUAAUUAUACCUAUAAGCUCAUUUCUUAGUUUUAGCAAUUUAAACAAAUUGUGACAUUUUAGCUAACUUAGUGUAGACUAUUAACUUUAGUUUCCUAAGUAAAAGCAUUUGUGGUAAUGGGGCAGAGAAUGACCCAAUAAUUGUAAAGAGUGUACGUGCAGUUCAAAAAAGUGCAAAAAGCGUAAUUUUUGAAAAUUCAGAAUUUUUCAAGUCGAGCUCUAAACAAAUUAAAAUAGAUUACCUCUAAUGAAUAUAGAAUCCUAAAUCGACAAAGGUAUAUUUUCAAAACCAAAUUUAUCCAUUUGUUAUUAUAUUAAUAUUUUUGUACUUGAGAUUUUAAAUCACUUAAUAUGCUCUCUUAAGAAUUUCUUUCAACCGAGUAAAGUUUUCAUGCCUAGUCGGCACAGAAUUGUUCACAUGUACAGAAAUAAUUAUGUAUUGUAUUUCAGCAUUGUAAGUAAAAAUAUUUAAUUUUGUUAAUUUCUUUCAGCCUUAAAGCCAUUGUAAAGCAAAUUGUAACUUUAAAUAAUAUUUUUUUACAAAUAAGAAUAUUAUGUAAGAUGGUAAUUAUAAUUUGAUUACUAUUUCCUAGCUAUUGUACAUUUUAUUGUGUGUAGAGACGUUUUCAAACCACGGAAUUAAUAUUUAACUCCAGAUAUCAAAAUUAUGAUAGGUUUGUUCAAAAGUUUGUAUAUACUUUUUUAUUACUUAAAUAAGCUUAAUUGGAAUUGUCGCAAAAUACAAACUUACACUAAAAUUUUACUGUUUUAUAUUACAUAUGUAUAUUUUCAUUUCUGGGAAACGCAGCAAUAAUUCAAACGUGUCUCGAAAAAGAAGUAGAAGCCCCUCACAACUAUUUUACAUAUUUAUAUUUUAUAUUUAUUUAGCAAGACUUCGACACACAAAAAUGACACUUGUUAAUCUCAUCACCGAGGACAUUUGAAGCUAAUCUACUCAAAAUCUCCCUGUGCGACUUUGAUUUAGCGCCAAAAUGUAAACAAACAAAUAAACUAAAAGCAAUGCAUAUGAAUUCCCCUGGCAAUCGACUUCCCAAAUCAAAAAAUGUGGCCACUAUUCCCAUUAAAUAAAAAAUAUUUAAAACAAGACGACUUUUAUAACAAAAUA
Molecule: non-coding RNA, 5434 nt
Organism: Bactrocera oleae (olive fruit fly)
Lineage: Eukaryota; Metazoa; Arthropoda; Insecta; Diptera; Tephritidae
Source: RefSeq, a predicted model, not a curated record